RNAcentral lists this ribosomal RNA (463 nucleotides) under Vreelandella stevensii. RNAcentral describes it as "partial 16S ribosomal RNA". It matches the Rfam family "Bacterial small subunit ribosomal RNA", at positions 338 to 795 of the family's 1533-position model. Lineage: Bacteria; Pseudomonadati; Pseudomonadota; Gammaproteobacteria; Oceanospirillales; Halomonadaceae. The record is from RNAcentral.
CCUACGGGGGCAGCAGUGGGGAAUAUUGGACAAUGGGCGAAAGCCUGAUCCAGCCAUGCCGCGUGUGUGAAGAAGGCCUUCGGGUUGUAAAGCACUUUCAGUGGGGAAGAAAGCCUUGGGGCUAAUACCCUCGAGGAAGGACAUCACCCACAGAAGAAGCACCGGCUAACUCCGUGCCAGCAGCCGCGGUAAUACGGAGGGUGCGAGCGUUAAUCGGAAUUACUGUGCGUAAAGCGCGCGUAGGCGGUCUGAUAAGCCGGUUGUGAAAGCCCCGGGCUCAACCUGGGAACGGCAUCCGGAACUGUCAGGCUAGAGUGCAGGAGAGGAAGGUAGAAUUCCCGGUGUAGCGGUGAAAUGCGUAGAGAUCGGGAGGAAUACCAGUGGCGAAGGCGGCCUUCUGGACUGACACUGACGCUGAGGUGCGAAAGCGUGGGUAGCAAACAGGAUUAGAUACCCUGUAGUC